Molecule: long non-coding RNA, 353 nt
Filed under: Physcomitrium patens
Lineage: Eukaryota; Viridiplantae; Streptophyta; Bryopsida; Funariales; Funariaceae
Description: long non-coding RNA (PPAT_LNC012296)
Source: RNAcentral
UUAAUCGCUACUGUUGAAUGCUUACAAUACCGAAGAACACUUAACUUUUCCACUUACUAUCCACUCUUUCAUAUCAAUACGAUAACAACCACGACAUCAAUUUCAAUACCUUGUGUAAUUCACGAACACACAAGCAUAAUCUAAACCCUAAAAUGAACAACUUCCAAUCCAUAGAAUGUGAUUGAGCUAAUUCUUUCAAUUACAAUUCUCUCCACUGAACUCACAACCUUCAGAUAAAUAGUGAUUAGAAACUUCCAUACAUCAUCAAUCUUUUACAAUAAUAGAUAAACAGUGAUCUAUAAAAAACUUUGUAAAUCAAACAUUGAUUCAUUAAAUCGAUUCUCUUCACUAGA